This 254-nucleotide ribosomal RNA is filed under the name uncultured bacterium. RNAcentral describes it as "partial 16S ribosomal RNA". It matches the Rfam family "Bacterial small subunit ribosomal RNA", at positions 524 to 776 of the family's 1533-position model. The record is from RNAcentral.
UACGUAGGGGGCAAGCGUUGUCCGGAAUCAUUGGCGUAAAGCGCGUGUAGGCGGCCCGGUAAGUCCGCUGUGAAAGUCGGGGGCUCAACCCUCGAAUGCCGGUGGAUACUGUCGGGCUAGAGUGCGGAAGAGGCGGAGUGGAAUUCCUGGUGUAGCGGUGAAAUGCGCAGAUAUCAGGAGGAACACCGAUUGCGAAGGCAGCUCGCUGGGACGUCACUGACGCUGAGAACGCGAAAGCGUGGGGAGCAAACAGG